AAAGGACUUUUCAGCUUCCAAGCAACAAUGAGCCUUACAAAAAAGGCAAGCAAGUGUGGAGGCUGUUUCUGGUAGCUACAGGGCAUGCUUUUUUUCUGAAAAAAAAAAAAAUCCAAUGAAAUAUUUUGCUCAGCGAUAUCCAAUAACCAGUGGCCUUUGUAUUGAUUCAGGACCGGAGGCAUCCCAGAUGUAUUUGGAAGGGGCUCUGCAGGGACACAGUCGUUUGAGGUGGGAGUAUGUGCUCUGAAGUGACCACUGUCUGCUUACUCUUGCUUCAGAGGAGCACGGCAAGCAGAAGCAGCAUUUCCAUACUUGUGAGUUAAACUGCCCCUGUGCCGCCUCUUCAGCCUUUCUCACAAGCACCCUUUCGGCGACGGGCUUUCUUCCCUCUCAAGGCGGAAUUUCGACAUCCUCCCACCCACAGCCCUGACUCCGUCGGCACUCAGCCACGUUUCCGCAGCAGGUCCAACUGGAUUUGGCAUCUGCGGGAGACUGCCCUUCAGCAGCUGGGACCUGAUAGGCUCAUUUCCCGGGACACUGAGCUAGCAAAUCAGAUGCACACAACUUGCCUGUCUGUGCUGUCUCCAAACUCUGCCUCUCUGCAGCAUGUGCUCUUCCCUCCAAGGUCAACGCAGGUAACUUGCUGUAAAUCCUGUACCUUCAGCAAUUGUCCAUGAUGACUUAACUACAGAAAUGCAAGUGAUUGCGAUGGAUCAAGCUGUACCAAAUCAAUUUUCAGCAAUGAUCAAGACCCUAAUAAAAGGAAACAUGACUGUGCCACUGUGACUCAUAUCUGAACUCUGUAUUCAGUUUUAGUGAGCAGGUAGAAAUGUCUUAGAGGGGCCUUACUCCUGCGAGACCGCAGCUUCCCAUCGCCGCUGUAGAAAGAGCGGAGCUGCUCUUGCCGCCUUGCUCGGUGAGGAGGGCUGGUGGCAGGAAGCCACAACGGCUCUGUGUGUUUAUCUCUCCCCAUCUCACAGCCCUGACAGAGCAAGUCUAUUUGGAUAGCAAGAAGCUGCGGUAACCAAGCAGCCACAAAAUACUAAAAGGGACAUUUCCCAGCUACUUACAUGGCUAAGAGUAAGUGCAAAACAAGUUCUUUUUAACAAAACAAGUAUAUAUUUUCAUGAGACUAGAGUGAGAAAAACGAAUAGCAGCUUUUGCGUAGGUGCAUUUACUUACAUAAUCUUCAACAAAAUCUUUGCCCUUUAGAAUAAAUUCUGCUUCUCCCUAAUGAUUGGUUUUACUGACAAGGAAAUUAGCAAUCCCUUAAAAUUCCCAUUACAAGCCCUACAUAAUUCAUCUUGAGCCUUUAUGUGGCUAGCUCAGAGCCAUGCACAGACCAUCUCCCUUCUUCUUCUAGAAAGUAGCUCCCAUUUCCUUAAGGAAUAACAAAAUGACUGCCUCUAUGAAGCAGCCAGAGGCACUUAACCCCUUCCUGGCAUGUUUAACACCUCCCCUCAGGAAGAGGUGUUUUAAGCAAAUACUGCCAGAUAGUUACAAGCAAAAGGCUCAUAAUGCAACUGCCAAAUGUAGACCUAAGCGCUCCCAAAGGAUGCAGUGCGCAGGCCCAGGAUUUCAGUUCAACAUAAUCUGCAGGGUCAGCAGCAGUUUCGAAGCUCAGAUCUGGACCAGAAUUGGUCCCAGAUCUGCAGAUGUUCAGGGCAGACCUGUAUUCUCAGACCAUUUCUAUUAUUUUAAUUUCUUAAGUGAUUGACUGCAACAAUUUCCAAGUAAGACAAUAACAAAACCGUCAUGUGACUGCUAGUAGCAAAGUUAUUCUAUUUCCAGAUGGGUUACUGGAAGCAAACAUGAGGUUUCACAUCAGGGAUGCUCCAGAAAGCUAAGAUCUGAUCUUACAAACACCACUAACUGCCCCACAGAGAGAGGCUGAUGUCGGAGAGUUCUGCAUACAGACAGCCUAAGAGCUUGAUAAAAUCAAAAUCCAAUUUUUAUAGCCCCCAAAUUAUUAUCUCCAGUGGGCUUACAUUUUAAGCAAUGAGAAGUACAUUUUUAAAUAAGAAGUGGGUAUGCCUACAUUCCUCAGCUAACCCAGAAAAGGAAACUGCCCUCUGGGCGUACGACUGCCUUGCAGACAUCUUGUGGACACUGUGGCUGCUCUGAGACGGUAUCUGUGCAUACUUAGGUUUUCCAAUUAGUAGGCGAGAUUUCCUGAUACAUUCUGGCUGCCUUUUACCACUUCAGUGAUGCAGAGCAGUCAUAAAGUUUAAUUGCCCAAUUAAACAGGGUUUGGAGUUGUUUCGCGCUGCUUGAGCGCCACAAAGCAGAUUGAAAAAACUAAUGAAUCUGGCCAAUAUUUUCUUUUCGGGAGGAAAAUGUAAAAUUCAAGGGCUGAAGUAACCUAAAUAAAGAGGUAGCUAUAGCCUGUACUGGAACAUUUAUAUUUCCAGUGCUCUGGAAUGAGUUAAAAGGAAAGUGUUCAAAUUCCUCCUAUUCCAGUUACAGCAUGGCAGAGAGAUAGAGACGGGUGUGCAAGUAAAACCAGUCCCCGUCCGCCCUGGCCUAACCAGGCUGCGUGAUGGCGAGAGCAGCUGUGGCUUCCUGCCACUGUCCUUUGUCAGUAGAAACGACUUCUUAAGAAACGGGAAAAGGCAAAAAAGCACACAGGCGGCAAUCACAACUCUCCAACGGAGGUAUCUAAAACUUGAGAGGGAGUGGGGCACAAGGAAUGGGGCAACAAAUUAGGACGCAGACAACCGGAGCUCGUGGCUGUGCCACUUGCUGCCGCGGCUGUUUAUCCUGCAGCAGGUCCCUUCCGCAGCUCUGCAGAUUUUCUCCCCACCCACUGUCUGUGGGUUCCUGUUAUUUUUUUAAAGCGUUUUGGUUGUGGGGGUGAUGCUGCAUGCGUGUUUCCGAGGUGAGGAGCACAAUGAGCUCCUAAGGAUGGUGGAGGCCUCUAGGGACAAUUUGAAUGCAAAUAAAUACUCGCUGUGAUUAUCUAGACACCAGUAGGCGUCUCAGUAAAGCGGAUUCAUUUGUAAGAAAGCUGCCUGAUUACUUUCAGGUUAAUAUUUUUUAAUGAGCAAAGUAGACUGCUGACAACAUAAAAUAUCGGCUAUUACAGUGUUUCUCAAACUGUCAGAUGUAACUACCAGAGGAGUCAUAAGAGAGUUCAAAAGGACCACAGCUCACAUAGUCACUUCACAAUAUUUUUAUACUAAAAUACCAGUGAUUUAAGGCAGUAUGUAUUUCUGUUGAUAGGUAGGUGGUAUCCAGAGUUUGCUGGAUUUUCAUGAGAACGGACAAAUUGAAAAGAAAUUCACGCUUGUAAAAAAAAAAAAAUUGUGAAACACUACUGGAGCAGUAAGAGUGAUGGAAACACAAAUGUGGAACCUAAUUUAUUAAAAGCAUCUGAACAUUACCAAACUCCAAUUUACUUAUAAUCUUUAUAGAGACUCUAAAAUGCUGUGGCGCUUUGUAAGAUUCACGAGCAGCACAAUGCGCCUCUGUUAUGAGUCUUUCGGGUCCCGGAGUGCGUCAAGAAGCCUUUAUGGUGGUGCCCAGCCAUGCCUGGUGCCUUUCCAGCACCCAUGGGUGCAGGGCAGCGCCACAGCCCAGCCCGGCCCUCGGUCCCGGUCUGACCUGGUCCUGCUUCUGGAUGGACCUCGGACCUGGCUGGUUGCUUGCUGCAUCUGGGGCUUCAGCCAUCACCCGUUUUCCAGCCUGCAGCGGUACCGACCCGGCACACUUCCCACCUCCCCGUCCCAAAUGCAGGCACAGCUACGUACGUUCCCUAUCGUUCCCUAUCGUUCCCUAUCCCCUGCUCCUGCCGCUGCCCUGACCGCCCACAUGCCCUCACAUCAGCACCCAGGCACUUCCGGGGCUGUCGCCACACUUCCACAAAUUACUGAGAGACAAAGCCAUAAGGAAGAAGAAAGAGUGAGCAGAAGGAACAGCAGCAAGGGGAGGAAGGACUACAUUUGCAGAGCGGGAAAGAGUUGAUGAGAUCUUUGGUUAAAAACAACAUCCUACUCUGGUUUUUGUUUAUUUUGCAUUCGAUAAGCACUUCAGGAGUAAAUACCUCUUUAGGAUCAUGGCUGCAUGACAGAAGUUGCAAAGGUCCGACUUGGAAUAUAAUUUCCCCAGCAUUCAGGGUAUCAGUGGUUUCACUUCAUCCUAUUAGAUUGUGCUUUCCACAAACAUGGCAUAAUGAUUUGGUUGGAAGUUACCUCUAAUUUUAUUAGAAUUGAAAAUGAGUUUAAAAGGAAUCUAAAAUAGUUCAUUUUCAAGCUAAAGAGUGGGAAGUGCUGAAUAGCACUGCUAAAGAACAUGGAGACAGUCAAUUUAAAUCAACUGAUUUAAAAUCUAGCUCAAAGUAGAAGGGCCUGGAGGUAUAAUCACUACUAGGUAGUUAUGCAACAGCCAUAUGUGGACUCAUGAGCUGGUCCUUAUCGUCUAGCUCAAAUGGCACGAGCUGGUACUGUAAAGAUGCAAGACCUCCGCCUAGUCUUUCCCCUUGAAAGCUAAUGUGGGAAUAGCACAAGGAAAAUACAUUUCGAGAUUACUCACUCCAAACCGCAAAGUGGAUGUUUCGUUUUGAUAUUUGGGAAGGAACAAGUAAAUAUAUUGUUCAGAGAACAGCUACAUUGCUUAGACUCGAGCUACCCCUCAAACAGUUGUCACCUCACUGCUUAGGGAGACAUGCCAUCAAAAUUAGAAAUGCAAGUGAAGCAGAUAUUUUAACAGCUUAAACGAGGGAACCAGAGACUCUCGAUAUAAGGUGGGUUGGCAAGUCUAAACAGAGAGGUUUGGGCUGACACUGCUUUACAGAAAACAAGAUUUCUGUUGCUAGGGUUUCCAAACGGGCACAUUUUGCAAGCCAUCAAUAAAGGCACUGAAUUAAAAUUAAAUCCGGAAGGCUGACAGGGACUGUGCCACUUCUGAAAAUGGACUCGAUGGUGCUGAAGGCGAGGGUUCUGCAUGCGGUCAGUUGUCGCUGCUGCUCCAUUUGCUUAAGUCUCUGUAUUCAGAGGAUUGGAUAAUUGCAUAAAGGAAAUUCAGGCAUGCACAGACUGAGAGCACACAGAGGCAAGAUGGUCUUUUUUUCCUUUUUCCACAAACGGUGUUUCAACCCUUUUGCUGUCGAAAGGCAAGUAUCCUGUCCGUUUCACAGGAGAUACAACUAACUGCUAAAAACUCUGUACAAAAUGGUAAAUCGAUAUAUUGAAUUUUAGCAUGUUAUUGAAGCAUGCUUAAGCAAACUGUAUGCAUGAUGUUUUAAAAAUAAAUACCACAUGGAAAAUCUCGUGUUCUAUUACUUUUUAAUUAAGAAGGGAUAAGUAGCAAAUACAUUAAAAAUAAAUUCCAACAGAUCUGCAAUCUGAUGCUGUCUGUGGAUAUAAAAUAUUGAUAUCAGCUCUAUGUUGGGAUAUCAACCAUAUGACAUGACAAAAAUACAUAACUGUAAUUAAACUGUGAUUUUUAGGACAAUGGAAGAUUGUGAAAAGUUAUGUGGAUGGCUUAUCUCUCUCUAUGCUUCAAGAGGAUUUUGAACAAAGCCUAAAAAGCAAGAUAUCACUGGCCAUAGAAUGGAAUUAUAUGGUGCAGAUGAUAUGGGCCUUUUUUUGUUAGAAUACUUACAUCUUAAAAUAAAUGACUGAAAAUUGCACAAUAAACAAACUUGAAUAAAUUUUAAUUCCAGUCUCCAAAAAAAAAGG
Long non-coding RNA from Dromaius novaehollandiae (emu), 5678 nucleotides. RefSeq lists it as uncharacterized. The transcript is spliced from 5 exons. The record is from RefSeq and is a predicted model, not a curated record. Lineage: Eukaryota; Metazoa; Chordata; Aves; Casuariiformes; Dromaiidae.